UGAUGCUCUGCACUUCGCUCCUCGCAGCUCAUCGAUGGCGUAGGAUUUGAUUAAAUUUGUUGUUCCAGCUUUUGUCUGUGAUGGAGUAGAUGCCCCUGUAUUCGCAAAUUCAAUCAAGCUCCAACUUCAAUGGGGAAACAAGAGGCAUCUGUAAGUGUUGAAUUUAUCAUGAAGAUCCAAGUAAAACUGCUCUUUUAAGAAACAAGAUGUAUUUGAAGUGGAAUGUGGCAGUGUGCAGUGAACGGUUGAGGCAAUCCACCCCAGUGGCUUUACACUACCACUUUAGGUUCAUUUUAUUUGUAUUGGUUUUG
Molecule: long non-coding RNA, 311 nt
Filed under: Rosa chinensis
Lineage: Eukaryota; Viridiplantae; Streptophyta; Magnoliopsida; Rosales; Rosaceae
Description: sRNA RchiOBHm_Chr7g0178911
Source: RNAcentral